GUCCAAGUUCCAGUCAUUCAUAUCAUAGUCAAAUCAUUUCACACACUUUUGCCAUCAAGUAAUACAAAGUGAUAUAAUAAAUGUUUAAAAUUUCCAGUUAGAGGUAGCACUGAUUUGAAACCCGACGAUUGGUAGAUUUACUACCAUACUAGGUAAGAGAAAAGACGAGAGAAAAUUAAACGAUCCACAAUUUCAUUGUGAUCAUUACUUCAUAUACAACUUAGAUAAGAUCCAUUGAUAUCCAUAUCCCUCUGUGCUAAAUUUAAUUUACAAGAAAAUUUAUCCAGUUUAAUUCUCCAUGCUAGCGCCUGAGUCUUCAAUGAGGCCACAUAUUUCCAAACUAAAUAAAGUAGCUUUCUAUCAUGUGUUCCAGUAUCACCGUGUUAUAAAAUGAUGUUAUAAGUUGAUUUGGUUGUAUAUAUGUUUGACACAUCAUAAGUCCAACUCCAUUGAUCUUUAGUCUCCUCCUUCAUAGUUGUAUGACUAAUUAGCUUCACCAACACCUCAAUUUUAGGCUUCUCCUAGUCGGAAGGUUCUCUCAUCCACGUGAAGUUCCAUUUCCAUUUGCCCUCUAUCAAUCACCCAGUUGACUAGCCAUAGCCUGUUUAUCCGCAAUCAAAUUGAAAAGCCGCUCAAAAGAAUACUUCAGGGGUCCUUCGUCUGUUGGAAAGUAAGUCCCACAUCGCCUACCUCAUUGUCUCAGUAAUGAUUUAAAUACCUCUUUGGUUACUUCUCUCAUUGCCAAUUGGUUUCGAGAUGGAACUUUAACAUGGUAUCAGAGCCAGGGCCCAACUUCUCUCCGGGUGUCAUGGGCCAAAAGUUGCCCUUUAGUUAUGGGUCAAAGGUAACUCUUCGCCUGAUCCGGCAGACUCAUGUGAAGAGGGAGGACAUGUUGAAAGUAAGUCUCACAUUGCCUAUUUGUUUUGAGAUGGAACCUUAACAUCGCCCACCAAAAAAUUAGACCAUAACCUUAUUUUCUUCCAUUCCCAAUACUUUUUCAAAACCACCCGCUAACUGCCCUUGCCUAAGGGCUGUCCCAAACGCCUCCUUCUUCAAAUCCCUUCACCAAAGAGAUUCCUUAGACCCUUCUAGGUUUCUAUCCAUAAACUCGAGGCUACCUUGAAGUCCAUAUUUAGAGUUUAAAACCUUAACCCUAAAGGACUCUCUCAUUUAAGCAGCGCUAUCUCCAUUUACCAAGAAGAACAACACUAAAAAAAGUUUCUAUAGAUUCGUAAGUUCCUUG
RNAcentral lists this long non-coding RNA (1243 nucleotides) under Lupinus angustifolius (narrow-leaved blue lupine). RNAcentral describes it as "long non-coding RNA (LANG_LNC002149)". The record is from RNAcentral. Lineage: Eukaryota; Viridiplantae; Streptophyta; Magnoliopsida; Fabales; Fabaceae.